AUUGAACGCUGGCGGCAGGCCUAACACAUGCAAGUCGAGCGGAUGAAGGGAGCUUGCUCCUGGAUUCAGCGGCGGACGGGUGAGUAAUGCCUAGGAAUCUGCCUGGUAGUGGGGGAUAACGUCCGGAAACGGGCGCUAAUACCGCAUACGUCCUGAGGGAGAAAGUGGGGGAUCUUCGGACCUCACGCUAUCAGAUGAGCCUAGGUCGGAUUAGCUAGUUGGUGGGGUAAAGGCCUACCAAGGCGACGAUCCGUAACUGGUCUGAGAGGAUGAUCAGUCACACUGGAACUGAGACACGGUCCAGACUCCUACGGGAGGCAGCAGUGGGGAAUAUUGGAGAAUGGGCGAAAGCCUGAUCCAGCCAUGCCGCGUGUGUGAAGAAGGUCUUCGGAUUGUAAAGCACUUUAAGUUGGGAGGAAGGGCAGUAAGUUAAUACCUUGCUGUUUUGACGUUACCAACAGAAUAAGCACCGGCUAACUUCGUG
Molecule: ribosomal RNA, 484 nt
Filed under: uncultured bacterium
Lineage: Bacteria
Description: partial 16S ribosomal RNA
Rfam family: Bacterial small subunit ribosomal RNA
Source: RNAcentral